RNAcentral lists this ribosomal RNA (564 nucleotides) under uncultured bacterium. RNAcentral's name for it is "partial 16S ribosomal RNA". It matches the Rfam family "Bacterial small subunit ribosomal RNA", at positions 355 to 912 of the family's 1533-position model. The record is from RNAcentral.
UGGGGAAUUUUGGACAAUGGGCGAAAGCCUGAUCCAGCAAUGCCGCGUGUGUGAAGAAGGCCUUCGGGUUGUAAAGCACUUUUGUCCGGAAAGAAAUCCUUGGCUCUAAUACAGUCGGGGGAUGACGGUACCGGAAGAAUAAGCACCGGCUAACUACGUGCCAGCAGCCGCGGUAAUACGUAGGGUGCAAGCGUUAAUCGGAAUUACUGGGCGUAAAGCGUGCGCAGGCGGUUUGCUAAGACCGAUGUGAAAUCCCCGGGCUCAACCUGGGAACUGCAUUGGUGACUGGCAGGCUAGAGUAUGGCAGAGGGGGGUAGAAUUCCACGUGUAGCAGUGAAAUGCGUAGAGAUGUGGAGGAAUACCGAUGGCGAAGGCAGCCCCCUGGGCCAAUACUGACGCUUAUGCACGAAAGCGUGGGGAGCAAACAGGAUUAGAUACCCUGGUAGUCCACGCCCUAAACGAUGUCAACUAGUUGUUGGGGAUUCAUUUCCUUAGUAACGUAGCUAACGCGUGAAGUUGACCGCCUGGGGAGUACGGUCGCAAGAUUAAAACUUAAAGGAAUUG